Molecule: ribosomal RNA, 254 nt
Filed under: uncultured bacterium
Lineage: Bacteria
Description: partial 16S ribosomal RNA
Rfam family: Bacterial small subunit ribosomal RNA
Source: RNAcentral
UACGUAGGGCGCAAGCGUUGUCCGGAAUUAUUGGGCGUAAAGAGCUCGUAGGCGGUUUGUCGCGUCUGCUGUGAAAACCUAAGGCUCAACCUUGGGCUUGCAGUGGGUACGGGCAGACUAGAGUGCGGUAGGGGAGAUCGGAAUUCCUGGUGUAGCGGUGAAAUGCGCAGAUAUCAGGAGGAACACCGGUGGCGAAGGCGGAUCUCUGGGCCGUAACUGACGCUGAGGAGCGAAAGCAUGGGGAGCGAACAGGA